Molecule: unclassified non-coding RNA, 396 nt
Filed under: Zea mays
Lineage: Eukaryota; Viridiplantae; Streptophyta; Magnoliopsida; Poales; Poaceae
Description: misc RNA Zm00001eb137940
Source: RNAcentral
CAGCCCGUACUUCCUGAUCAGUCCAUGAGGGUUCGCACAGACCCGGCUGCAAAAGCGAACAAGUACAUCAGCACACUUACCAAAACAACACCACAAAAUACUUGUGUCAUACUCCAUAACAACAUGAAUACAGACAAGUUCAUAAUUCCACUGGAUGUACUAAUCCACAAUAGUCCAAUCGAUACACAAGCUCGAACACCAUCGAUCCUAGCGACGACAGCAGCUGCAAAAACCCUAUCGACGGAGGAACCUAAAUCCCAACCGAGCGAAAAGAAUACUAACCCUACAACUUGGAUUCGUUCAAAGCUAUCAUGCGGGAGAGAAACCCAAUCAAACCCCUAACGCUACGCACCAUGGCAAAAGGGAACGCACGUACCAGACGCGGGAUCCGGGCCC